GACGAACGCUGGCGGCGUGCUUAACACAUGCAAGUCGAACGGAAAGGCCCUGCUUUUGUGGGGUGCUCGAGUGGCGAACGGGUGAGUAACACGUGAGUAACCUGCCCUUGACUUUGGGAUAACUUCAGGAAACUGGGGCUCAUACCGGAUAGGAGCUCCUGCUGCAUGGUGGGGGUUGGAAAGUUUCGGCGGUUGGGGAUGGACUCGCGGCUUAUCAGCUUGUUGGUGGGGUAGUGGCUUACCAAGGCUUUGACGGGUAGCCGGCCUGAGAGGGUGACCGGCCACAUUGGGACUGAGAUACGGCCCAGCCUCCUACGGGAGGCAGCAGUGGGGAAUAUUGCACAAUGGGCGGAAGCCUGAUGCAGAAAGGCCGCGUGCGGGAUGACGGCCUUCGGGUGGUAAACCGCUUUCGCCUGUGACGAAGCGUGAGUGACGGUAAUGGGUAAAGAAGCACCGGCUAACUACGUG
Molecule: ribosomal RNA, 468 nt
Filed under: uncultured bacterium
Lineage: Bacteria
Description: partial 16S ribosomal RNA
Rfam family: Bacterial small subunit ribosomal RNA
Source: RNAcentral